UAGUCAUAUGCUUGUCUCAAAGAUUAAACCAUGCAUGUUUAAGCACAAACUUUUACACAGUGAAGCUGCGAAUGGCUCAUUAGGUCACCCAUGAUUUCUUGGAUUGUACAAUCCUACUUGGAUAACUGUGGUAAUUUUAGAGCUAAUACAUGCAAGCAAGCUCCGACCCUUCGGGGAAAGAGCGCGUUUAUUAGAUCAAAACCAAUCGGGCCUUUGGGUUUGUACGUUUGGUGACUUUGGAUAACUUUGUGCGGAUCGCACGGGCUUGACCCGGCGACGUAUUUUUCAAGUGUGUGCCCUAUCAACUUUUGAUGGUACGUGAUAUGCCUACCAUGGUUGUAACGGGUAACGGGGAAUCAGGGUUUGAUUCCGGAGAGGGAGCAUGAGAAACGGCUACCACAUCCAAGGAAGGCAGCAGGCGCGCAAAUUACCCCCUCGCGACACGCGGAGGUAGUGACGAAAAAUAACAAUACGGGACUCAUUUGAGGCCCCGUAAUUGGAAUGAGUACACUUUAAAUCCUUUAACGAGGAUCCCUU
Molecule: ribosomal RNA, 537 nt
Filed under: uncultured eukaryote
Lineage: Eukaryota
Description: SSU rRNA
Rfam family: Eukaryotic small subunit ribosomal RNA
Source: RNAcentral